RNAcentral lists this small RNA (29 nucleotides) under Bombyx mori (domestic silkworm). Its description in RNAcentral is "ovarian small RNA-3495". Lineage: Eukaryota; Metazoa; Arthropoda; Insecta; Lepidoptera; Bombycidae. The record is from RNAcentral.
UCUUCUUCUUCAACCCAUGUCCACCCAAU